AAACUAAAAUUAGUAUAGAUCAGAUUUUAAAUUUAAAAGAAUUUGAAUUUGACAUUAAAAUAUAUAGGUAUCAUAGUGCAUUAUUGUUGAGCAAUUGUACUGACAGAAAUAAAUAAAUACAUGAUGAUCUAUUUCUAGGGAAGGUUAAUUACUAGCAAUAUUUCGAGCUAAUACACAAAAUCGAUUCUGAAAUUGUUUUGAUUAUAAUCGUUUCGUUAGAAACGAAAUAUCAUACGAGUCAAUUUCCUCUCCCUAUUUAUUUUUUAUUUUUUCACAUAAAAUCUCUGUGUUGUCAUUUUUAUUGCAUUAAAUUAAUCUCAUCUGCCAACCGACAUUUCAAAAACUAAUGACGUAUGAUAAAUUAUAUAGUAUUUGAAAUUUUAAUUCCGCAAAAAAUAAAGGAAAAAAAUGAACGAUAGUAAAUUGUCUUUUAGAUCUGAAACGACAAUCGAUGAACCUGCGAGUGUUAAUCUCGACAAAGUUCGAUAAUUCGAUACCGUAUAGCAGUGCUGUUAAAUAAAAUACACUAUAUCGUGAGAGCGGUAACCAAAACUGUCAAACGUUCGAUGACAGAAUAAUAGGAUUGUUGCUACUUGGAAUGGUUUACGCGAGUGUCGAAUAAACGUUAUGCGGAUAAUCUUCAGUCGAUUGCCGCGUGAUGGCUGCGUGUUCCAAAGAAAUGAUGCUAUUUCAAUGCAGGUUCCAGUGAUACCGGUUGGAUAAAGAUAUCGCACAAUUUCGAACUUUGUAUCCCGCUGCAAACUUUAUAUUCAAAUAUAAUUGUACAGUAGAACUUCGUUUAUCCGAACACAUCAGAGGACAAAAUGGUUUUGAACAACCAAGAGGUUCGGAUAAUAGAAGCCCAUUAACUUUCUCUAUAUCUUACUUUUAUUUGUUUAGGUUUUAGGUAAUAAGAGAAGUAGUAGUUUAUCAAUUAUAAAUUCGUAUAUCUGAGGGUCUGAGGCACAACACUAGUUUGUAUAAACGAGGCACAGAUAAACGAAAUUCUACUCGAUGAAAAUUCACCAAAUAUAUACAGAAUUACUGAAAUCAGUGAAAUAACACAUUUACUUAUCGAAAAGUUGGACAAAACAGUGAGU
Frieseomelitta varia is the source of this 1100-nucleotide long non-coding RNA. RefSeq lists it as uncharacterized. NCBI's taxonomy places the organism in Eukaryota, Metazoa, Arthropoda, Insecta, Hymenoptera, Apidae. The transcript is spliced from 4 exons. The record is from RefSeq and is a predicted model, not a curated record.